GGUGGGCUCAGUGGUAGAGUGCGUAUUUAACAUGUGUGAGGUCCUGGGUUCAAUCCCCAGUACCUCCA
This 68-nucleotide transfer RNA is filed under the name Camelus bactrianus (Bactrian camel). It matches the Rfam family "tRNA". Rfam says of the family: Transfer RNA (tRNA) molecules are approximately 80 nucleotides in length. Their secondary structure includes four short double-helical elements and three loops (D, anti-codon, and T loops). The record is from Rfam by way of RNAcentral. Lineage: Eukaryota; Metazoa; Chordata; Mammalia; Artiodactyla; Camelidae. RNAcentral also lists the same sequence under 1 other name.